This 488-nucleotide ribosomal RNA is filed under the name uncultured bacterium. RNAcentral describes it as "partial 16S ribosomal RNA". It matches the Rfam family "Bacterial small subunit ribosomal RNA", at positions 30 to 507 of the family's 1533-position model. The record is from RNAcentral.
UGAACGCUGGCGGCAGGCCUAACGCAUGCAAGUCGAACGGUAACAGGAAGCAGCUUGCUGCUUUGCUGACGAGUGGCGGACGGGUGAGUAAUGUCUGGGAAACUGCCCGAUGGAGGGGGAUAACUACUGGAAACGGUAGCUAAUACCGCAUAACGUCGCAAGACCAAAGAGGGGGACCUUAGGGCCUCUUGCCAUCGGAUGUGCCCAGAUGGGAUUAGCUAGUAGGUGGGGUAACGGCUCACCUAGGCGACGAUCCCUAGCUGGUCUGAGAGGAUGACCAGCCACACUGGAACUGAGACACGGUCCAGACUCCUACGGGAGGCAGCAGUGGGGAAUAUUGCACAAUGGGCGCAAGCCUGAUGCAGCCAUGCCGCGUGUAUGAAGAAGGCCUUCGGGUUGUAAAGUACUUUCAGCGGGGAGGAAGGGAGUAAAGUUAAUACCUUUGCUCAUUGACGUUACCCGCAGAAGAAGCACCGGCUAACUCCGUG